RNAcentral lists this non-coding RNA (28 nucleotides) under Bombyx mori (domestic silkworm). The record is from RNAcentral. Lineage: Eukaryota; Metazoa; Arthropoda; Insecta; Lepidoptera; Bombycidae.
UAUGUACAAGUUAAAUAACAAAGGAGAG